GCUUGUUUUUGUAGGAUUGUAUCUCAUGGUGGCAUAAGUAUAAACAAUUGUACUUAUUUCGGCUUUUUGACUUAAAUUUCUUACUUUAUGACACAUAGUUUUUUGAUUUUCUCAGCUCAAUGAAAUUAUUAAGGGACUGUGGUUGUGUUGUUUAUACAUGCAUCUACUUCGUGCUGUUUCUCAUUAAUAAUCUUAUCUUACUUUCUAAAAAAAUUCAUUAUGUUCAUUGCUAGACCUGGAUUAUUUCUCAAGCGAAAAUUGAUAUAAUGACAUUGUGGCUAUUUUGGAUAAAGUGACGCUCUGUUUAAUGAAAAAUUAGAAAAUAGAAUUGAGAUUUCUUGAAGUUCCUAUUGGAAGGCUUGAAUGUUGUACACCUUGUUAUGUCUUUGCUCCAUAAAAAUAGAAAAGGAGGAUGAUAUAUGAAUGUCUCCACAUUCACUCAGCAACCUCUUUGCUUUAAAUAGACUUAUUUAACUCCUUCCAGGAAUUAGACAUUUGAGUAUCAAUUUACAAACUCAACAUUGAAUUUGCUCUAAAUGCAUAUUUGAGAUGAUGGGGGCGGUGAUUAUAUACUUUAGUGGUUUAAUGCAUUAUAGACAUGUGUUUCUGUAGGUUUUGAGGAUUGGUAAGGAACACUAAAUCCUCCUCUUUGAAUCGAAACUCGCCUCUAUUUGCUUGAGUUGCUCUUUUUUAGCCUCUUUUCUAGUACUUCUGUUCUUCUAUAUGGACUGGUGUUUUUGCAGGUCUUGAGAAUUCAAGAAGUUAUUGUUCACGUGAAGUUGAUUCUCCUAUAUUAGUAGAGAUUGAUAUUUUUCAGUAGAUCUUUAUGGUACUUAACUUUAUGCCAUGCAUAUUAAGGAGUUGAUAGUCAAAUAAUGUGAUAACACCUUUUAUUUUAGUAAAAAGAUUUAACACCAGACUAGUUGCUAUAUCUGUAUAUACAUUUAAUUAAUCAUAGUUUUGGUGCUUCACUACAACAAUUUAUAUUCUUUCUAGUUCUUUUCAAAACAAUAUUCAAUUCUAAGAUAAAUGUUUACUUGUUUAGUGUUUUGCAUGGAUAGUAUUUAACAAUCCAAAUGAUUACACCUUAAUGCCCGGAUAUCUCAUUGGUUUCAGUUUCUUGUAUUUGAUUAGAUAGUCAUAACCCUAAUUAUUAACUCUAAUGCAUUACUAUCAGUUUCUCAACUCCUUACGGCUAAACACUCUCAGCUCCUUGUGGCAAAACACUCUCCUUCAUAUUCCAGGAUUCGGAGACUACAGUUUACAAGACAAUAUACGCUAGGUUUGAAGACUUCAAACAAGCUGAUGAUUUGUUUAUCAUGUUACUAGGAUUGUUAGAUCAGAAAUUAUAUUAGGAUGUUUAUUUUCCCCCAAGGGGUGGGUAUACAGUUGUGUGACUUAUAUAUCAUGGUUAUACAGUGCCGCUAGUCGGAUGUUAAUCCAUUAUUUAUAACUAAUUAAAGACUAUAUUUAU
Molecule: long non-coding RNA, 1474 nt
Organism: Lycium ferocissimum
Lineage: Eukaryota; Viridiplantae; Streptophyta; Magnoliopsida; Solanales; Solanaceae
Exons: 2
Source: RefSeq, a predicted model, not a curated record